This 399-nucleotide ribosomal RNA is filed under the name uncultured bacterium. RNAcentral's name for it is "bacterial SSU rRNA". It matches the Rfam family "Bacterial small subunit ribosomal RNA", at positions 359 to 775 of the family's 1533-position model. The record is from RNAcentral.
GAAUAUUGGACAAUGGGCGAAAGCCUGAUCCAGCCAUGCCGCGUGAGUGACGAAGGUCUUCGGAUUGUAAAGCUCUUUUGGCGGGGACGAUAAUGACGGUACCCGCAGAAUAAGCCCCGGCUAACUUCGUGCCAGCAGCCGCGGUAAUACGAAGGGGGCUAGCGUUGUUCGGAAUUACUGGGCGUAAAGCGCACGUAGGCGGAUUGUUAAGUCAGGGGUGAAAUCCCGGGGCUCAACCUCGGAACUGCCUUUGAUACUGGCAAUCUCGAGUCCGGAAGAGGUGAGUGGAAUUCCUAGUGUAGAGGUGAAAUUCGUAGAUAUUAGGAAGAACACCAGUGGCGAAGGCGGCUCACUGGUCCGGUACUGACGCUGAGGUGCGAAAGCGUGGGGAGCAAACAG